ACAGAUGAAGUGGUUGCUGACUUGUUUAUGUAUGACCGUUAAAAAAACUGUAUAUAAACAUACUUGAUGUAAUUUAGGAUUAACAAUAUUGACAAACUCACCAUAUAAUGUUAUAAAUAGAUUGGGAUUUUCUUAUGACAUGUAACAUUGAAAGGAAAACACCAUUUAAGUUUCUAUUUUAUUUUUAUACACUGCCUUGAACUUCACAUAUAUAUCAACGUUUAAUGUAAAUUGGUUCAUUGGAGAGCGAUUAUUUAAUGCAGACAGGACGAACAAAUUUAUCUCAGAUUAUGGAUGGAAACAACCCUGUUGCUUUUACUAGACAUGGAAGUACCAGGCCAAUUGAUGAAGAUGAAUUUAACAUAGAAAACAGAUGUGGCGCCUCGUGUGGCGCACGUAUAAUUGAUUCUGAUGACAGCGACGAAAACAUCAAUCUAUUGCAAAAACAACAACCAACGUCAGAAACGACAGCAAAUACGAAUCUUUCCAAGAAUGCUGGAAUGACACAUGGUACAAGUUGUCAGAAUCACUCCGCUAAAAGUCUUAAAGUCCUCAACCCGCGAGAUGAUAUUGAUAGUGAAACACAUGUAAGCACUAACAUUCACGUCAAGUCAAAUAGCUCAGACGAAAACAGUAGUGACGAAAAAGAGCUAUCUUCGAAAAAACAAAGUAUUGCAAAACGAUGCAAAGGAUUGUCUCUUUAUAUAUUUGUAGUUCUACUAAAUGCAAUAGUUAGUGUUGCAGUAAGUGUUGGACUGUAUUACUUUAUAGAUUAUGUAAAUGGCACACGCCAUGUUUCAGCACAGGAACCUUUGUUUGUCAAUUUGAAGGUCAACUUCGAUUCAUACAAUCAAAAUAUUCAAAACACGUCCGGUAAAAUUCCACGGACAUUCCUCGCCGCAUCAUUUCUCAUAUUAGACAAAACCGGCACAAAUAUAACGGUGCUCCAGCCUGGAUCCUAUUCAAUCGAUGUAUCGUUGAAUUUUGAUAACAGACGAAAUAAAGACCCAAACCCUAUAUCUAUGUGUAUUUUAAACAGUAUAGACAGUUCUUACGAACGGUGCACCCCUGAAGUUAUUCCAGCAUGCAUACAAAGGUCUGUGACUGUUAGUGUCGAUCUGAACUUAAAAAAAAGGCGGUAGUAUCUGGGUCAAUGUUAAGGGAGUAAAUCUUGUCUAUCAACGUUCUAAUGUAAACCACAUGACGAUUAGAAAAUAUGACUAGUAGAAAGAAUAACUAUAUUAAUGCUGGUAGGUCGAUGUAUAUAGGCUAACCUGUCAUGGCGGUGUCGUGGACUUACAAUAACAAUCAAAGUUGUUUCAGAGAAGAGUCAAGGAGUAGAAUUACAGUUUACAUGAAUUGACUUGAUGACGAAUUGCUGUCGAAACGUUGUUUCGUUGCUUUGUACCACCAGUAUAAUAGUCAUUGGUACAACGAAAACCAUUUCAGAGAAGAGUCCAGGAGUAGAAUUUCAGGAUACAUGAAUUGACUUUAUGGCGAAUAUCAGUAGAAACGUUGUUCCGUUGCUUUGCGUUUUGUGGAGUGCGUGAAUGAUUUAAGAGUCUUGUAUUAAUACACCAACUGGUUGUUUUAGACGUUUCAAAAAUACUGCAUUUAUAGUCAUUGGUCUAAUUUCACAUCCCCAAAACUUGUCCAAAAAUUAAUUACUUCGCUCAAACGUGUCCGAUUUUUUCAUCUCACAAACGUUUCCGACAGUUGUUAUCCACCGAAACUUGUUCACUUUUUAAAAGACGCAAAAAGGUCUCUAAUCUUUUUAGCGCUAAUAUGUUCAUUUUGACGACAGUAACGUCUACGGCAAAUUUAAAGAUGAAGUGUUGUCGGAAAAAAGCUCUUGAGAGCUUGUGUUUUAUAUGUUUUGAAAACCCGAUUUUAAAUAAAAUAUUUUUUUUCUAUCUUAUCUUAGCCAGGUUUCAGCUUGGGUCCAAACACAAAAAAAGUAUGAAAACUGCUAUUCAAUGACAUUAACACAGAGGUAUUUAGGGCACAACUCCCGGGGAUUAAAAGAGUUUCUGAGUUAAAAAAGAAAUCAAUUAGAUUGCAGAGACAUUCAGCAGGUGCAUACACUAAAGGUUAUGAAAAAAAAAAUACAAAAUUUAGUUUUUGACAAGAAAUUCAGACAUGUAUACAGUGAAAAUUUUUAAUGUUGGUCACAGUUGUAAAAAUAUUUCAUCCAUAUCCAUGACGAAUAUAGAAAUUAAAAACUGCAAAAAUAUUGUUCAUUGCCGUAGGCAUUCAUCAUACAGAUGAGUUAUUAUACUAGUAUUUUAUUUUUGUACAGUUGAUAUCAAUGUUUAUUGAUGCUAUUCGUGUGUGCUAAUAUAUUAAUAGUUUGGACUCGAGCAUCACUGAAGAUACUUUUAUCGUCGAAAUGCCCAUCUAAUUCAACAGUAGAAGGUGGUGGUGUUAAACGUUCUUAACAGCAAGCAAUGCAAUGCUGUAAGUCGGACUACACAAAAACUUCUUUCUAUUAAGAAGGGGUUAAAUUCCCUACGUAAUCCUACGUAAUCGAACUGUUUGGUACAAAGUGAAGGAAAAUUGGUACAUUUGGUGUUUUAAAACAGUAUAAGUGUUAAAGAUGUUUUUUUUAAAUAAAUAUUUAACUUUACAAUAUAAAAUUUGUGUAUUUCUUAAAAUAAUAAGAAUUAAAAACCAAUUGUUCAGAGAACAAUUGAAGGUCUUUCCACAUUAAAUAUCUAAAUAAUU
Molecule: long non-coding RNA, 2724 nt
Organism: Mytilus californianus (California mussel)
Lineage: Eukaryota; Metazoa; Mollusca; Bivalvia; Mytilida; Mytilidae
Exons: 2
Source: RefSeq, a predicted model, not a curated record